CCUUGGGUAGUUUAACGAAAACGUAGUGUUGAAGCCGCUAAGUUGGCUUAACAGCCUCCGGGGG
RNAcentral lists this transfer RNA (64 nucleotides) under Amusium pleuronectes. RNAcentral's name for it is "tRNA-Phe". Lineage: Eukaryota; Metazoa; Mollusca; Bivalvia; Pectinida; Pectinidae. The record is from RNAcentral.